AUUGAACGCUGGCGGCAGGCCUAACACAUGCAAGUCGAACGGUAACAGGAAUCAGCUUGCUGCUUUGCUGACGAGUGGCGGACGGCUGAGUAAUGUCUGGGAAACUGCCUGAUGGAGGGGGAUAACUUCUGGAAACUUUAUCUAAUACCGCAUAACGUCGCAAUACCAACUAUGUGGACCUUAGGGCCUCUUGCCAUCGGAUGUGCCCAUAUGGGAUUAGCUAGUAGGUGGGGUAACGGCUCACCUAGGCGACGAUCCGUAGCUGGUCUGAGAGGAUGACCAGCCAGACUGGAAAGGAGACACGGUACAGAGGGAUACGGGAGGCAGCAGUAGGGAAUAUUGAAGAAGGGGCGCAAGACUGAUGAAGACAGGCCGCGAGUAUGAAGAAGGAAUUCGGGUUGUAAAGUAAUGUCAGCGGGGAGGAAGGGAGUAAAGUGAAUACAUGUAAUCAUUGACGUUACCAGCAGAAGAAGCAACGGCUAAAUCCGUG
Molecule: ribosomal RNA, 490 nt
Filed under: uncultured bacterium
Lineage: Bacteria
Description: partial 16S ribosomal RNA
Rfam family: Bacterial small subunit ribosomal RNA
Source: RNAcentral